CCAAUAGCGUAUAUUAAAGUUGUUGCAGUUAAAAAGCUCGUAGUUGAAUUUUGGGUUUGGCCGAUUGGUCCGUUCUUGUAACGAGUACUGGUCGGUCGGGCCUCACCGCCUGGUGAUGCGUAAUGUCCUUUAUUGGGUGUUGCGAGUAGCCAGGACUUUUACCUUGAAAAAAUUAGAGUGUUUAAAGCAGGCUUAUGCCGGAAUACAUUAGCAUGGAAUAAUAGAAUAGGACGAUGAUUCUAUUUUGUUGGUUUCUAGGACCAUCGUAAUGAUUAAUAGGGAUAGUUGGGGGCAUUAGUAUUCAAUUGUCAGAGGUGAAAUUCUUGGAUUUAUUGAAGACUAACUACUGCGAAAGCAUUUGCCAAGGAUGUUUUCAUUAAUCAAGAACGAAAGUUAGGGGAUCGAAGACGAUCAGAUACCGUCGUAGUCUUAACCAUAAACUAUGCCGACUAGGGAUCGGGCGAUGUUGUUUCAAUGACUCGCUCGGCACCUUAUG
RNAcentral lists this ribosomal RNA (496 nucleotides) under uncultured Glomeromycotina. Its description in RNAcentral is "partial small subunit ribosomal RNA". It matches the Rfam family "Eukaryotic small subunit ribosomal RNA", at positions 591 to 1092 of the family's 1831-position model. The record is from RNAcentral. Lineage: Eukaryota; Fungi; Glomeromycota.